GAUGAACGCUGGCGGCGUGCCUAAUACAUGCAAGUCGAGCGAACAGACGAGGAGCUUGCUCCUCUGACGUUAGCGGCGGACGGGUGAGUAACACGUGGAUAACCUACCUAUAAGACUGGGAUAACUUCGGGAAACCGGAGCUAAUACCGGAUAAUAUAUUGAACCGCAUGGUUCAAUAGUGAAAGACGGUUUUGCUGUCACUUAUAGAUGGAUCCGCGCCGCAUUAGCUAGUCGGUAAGGUAACGGCUUACCAAGGCAACGAUGCGUAGCCGACCUGAGAGGGUGAUCGGCCACACUGGAACUGAGACACGGUCCAGACUCCUACGGGAGGCAGCAGUAGGGAAUCUUCCGCAAUGGGCGAAAGCUUGACGGAGCAACGCCGCGUGAGUGAUGAAGGUCUUCGGAUCGUAAAACUCUGUUAUUAGGGAAGAACAAAUGUGUAAGUAACUAUGCACGUCUUGACGGUACCUAAUCAGAAAGCCACGGCUAGCUACGUG
This 497-nucleotide ribosomal RNA is filed under the name uncultured bacterium. Its description in RNAcentral is "partial 16S ribosomal RNA". It matches the Rfam family "Bacterial small subunit ribosomal RNA", at positions 28 to 507 of the family's 1533-position model. The record is from RNAcentral.